AUUGAACGCUGGCGGCAUGCUUUACACAUGCAAGUCGAACGGCAGCACGGGUGCUUGCACCUGGUGGCGAGUGGCGGACGGGUGAGUAAUGCAUCGGAACGUGUCCUGAAGUGGGGGAUAACGCAUCGAAAGAUGUGCUAAUACCGCAUAUUCUCUGAGGAGGAAAGUAGGGGAUCGAAAGACCUUAUGCUUUUGGAGCGGCCGAUGUCUGAUUAGCUAGUUGGUAGGGUAAUGGCUUACCAAGGCGACGAUCAGUAGUUGGUCUGAGAGGACGACCAGCCACACUGGGACUGAGACACGGCCCAGACUCCUACGGGAGGCAGCAGUGGGGAAUUUUGGACAAUGGGCGCAAGCCUGAUCCAGCAAUGCCGCGUGAGUGAAGAAGGCCUCGGUUGUAAG
RNAcentral lists this ribosomal RNA (399 nucleotides) under uncultured bacterium. RNAcentral's name for it is "bacterial SSU rRNA". It matches the Rfam family "Bacterial small subunit ribosomal RNA", at positions 30 to 429 of the family's 1533-position model. The record is from RNAcentral.